ACUCCUACGGGAGGCAGCAGUGGGGAAUAUUGCACAAUGGGCGCAAGCCUGAUGCAGCAACGCCGCGUGAGGGACGACGGCCUUCGGGUUGUAAACCUCUUUUAGUAGGGAAGAAGCGAAAGUGACGGUACCUGCAGAAAAAGCACCGGCUAACUACGUGCCAGCAGCCGCGGUAAUACGUAGGGUGCAAGCGUUAUCCGGAAUUAUUGGGCGUAAAGAGCUCGUAGGCGGUCUGUCGCGUCUGCUGUGAAAACUGGGGGCUCAACCCCCAGCCUGCAGUGGGUACGGGCAGACUAGAGUGCGGUAGGGGAGAUUGGAACUCCUGGUGUAGCGGUGGAAUGCGCAGAUAUCAGGAAGAACACCGAUGGCGAAGGCAGAUCUCUGGGCCGUAACUGACGCUGAGGAGCGAAAGCAUGGGGAGCGAACAGGAUUAGAUACCCUGGUAGUCCAUGCCGUAAACGUUGGGAACUAGAUGUAGGGUCCAUUCCACGGAUUCUGUGUCGCAGCUAACGCAUUAAGUUCCCCGCCUGGGGAGUACGGCCGCAAGGCUAAAACUCAAAGGAAUUGACGGGGGCCCGCACAAGCGGCGGAGCAUGCGGAUUAAUUCGAUGCAACGCGAAGAACCUUACCAAGGCUUGACAUAUAGAGGAAAAGGCUGGAAACAGUCUCCCCGCAAGGUCUCUAUACAGGUGGUGCAUGGUUGUCGUCAGCUCGUGUCGUGAGAUGUUGGGUUAAGUCCCGCAACGAGCGCAACCCUCGUUCUAUGUUGCCAGCACGUAAUGGUGGGAACUCAUAGGAGACUGCCGGGUUCAACUCGGA
This 819-nucleotide ribosomal RNA is filed under the name uncultured Actinomycetes bacterium. RNAcentral describes it as "bacterial SSU rRNA". It matches the Rfam family "Bacterial small subunit ribosomal RNA", at positions 335 to 1167 of the family's 1533-position model. Lineage: Bacteria; Bacillati; Actinomycetota; Actinomycetes. The record is from RNAcentral.